CCAAUAGCGUAUAUUAAAGUUGUUGCAGUUAAAAAGCUCGUAGUUGAAUUUCGGGGUCAGUAGGUUGGUCAUGCCUCCGGUAUGCACUGGUCUCACUGAUUCCUCCUUCCUGAUGAGCCGUAAUGCCAUUAAUUUGGUGUUGCGGGGAAUCUGGACUGUUACUUUGAAAAAAUUAGAGUGUUUAAAGCAAGCUAACGCUUGAAUACAUUAGCAUGGAAUAAUGGAAUAGGACGUUCGAUCCUAUUUUGUUGGUUUCUAGGAUUGACGUAAUGAUUAAUAGGGAUAGUUGGGGGCAUUAGUAUUCAAUUGUCAGAGGUGAAAUUCUUGGAUUUAUUGAAGACUAACUACUGCGAAAGCAUUUGCCAAGGAUGUUUUCAUUAAUCAAGAACGAAAGUUAGGGGAUCGAAGACGAUCAGAUACCGUCGUAGUCUUAACCAUAAACUAUGCCGACUAGGGAUCGGAUGAUGUUAAUUUUUUAAUGACUCAUUCGGCGCCUUACG
RNAcentral lists this ribosomal RNA (500 nucleotides) under uncultured Glomeromycotina. RNAcentral's name for it is "partial small subunit ribosomal RNA". It matches the Rfam family "Eukaryotic small subunit ribosomal RNA", at positions 591 to 1092 of the family's 1831-position model. The record is from RNAcentral. Lineage: Eukaryota; Fungi; Glomeromycota.